UAUUCAUCGUUUUACAUAAUAAAGGAACAGAGACGAUUAAAUUAAAUGGUGAGGAUGUGGGUUUAAAAAACAAAAAAAAAACCCCAAUACACACACUAAAAGGAAGCGGUGCGCGCAAAUUCCGUAAUUAGCUUUCAUAGGAUAUUCUGGAGGUCAAAAAACUUGUAAGAUUUAAGUCCAACAGCUUUAGAGAUGUAAAGCUCCUGAAUGGCUUAUGAGACUGCCGAACACAAAGACACGCAUAACAGUCUAAAGUUUAGGGACCUUCUGAAGCAGAUAUUAGUGAAACCUAAGAGACGGUUUCAGAAGAAGAGUACGGAAAGGGUAUGUCACUGAUAGUACUACACAAAACAACCAUCCUGUUCCCAGAACCUUUCCUAAAGCAACUGAUCCUGUCCACUGUCAGAGAUGGAGUGAAAGCAGAAGGAGGAAGAGAGGAAUUCGGAUCAGACCCAGAACCGUCCUCACGAAUUGGCCGUGUGUAAGGUAAGGUUUUGCUGCCUUUGCUAAAGAAGCUAAACGAUUAUAGAAAAGUGACAAGGAAGAUGACAGUGCCCAGCCAUAAGGGGAGGGAGCGAGCAAAACGAAGACCCGAAUUAGUUAAGCGGCGAGAGAGAGAGAGAGAGAGAGAGAGAGAAGAGAGGGAACACGGCCAAAAAGGGUAACGGAUAAACACGGACUGGGCUCACGGUAUAACGACGAACACGCCAGACUCCGGCCCUUUAUGCAGGGAACAGCCAAGCUCUGCAAAUAGCAAAUGUCUUCAUACGGACAGAGCUGAGUGAGGAUAUCUCAGAACUGGUACAGAACACAAGAUUCUGAGAAGAGACAUGCUGAAAGGGAUUUUCCAGUUAUCCUAUGAUGACGCAUCUACAAGCUCAGUUUUAUGAAGGAAAAACAGGAGGAAGAGAGAAGAGACUAGUGGCCAGUGUAUGGCAAUCAGAGAGAUAAAAGGUAAGUGCAGCAGUCCAAGAGACAGAUAAAGAAAGAGAUAAAAUGUGAAACACAAAUACCCAACGGAAGUUCCACAGAUACGGAUGCUUUCCCAGUAGGACAAUAUUCACAUAAUUCAAAUUUCUAGAGCCUAAUUUAGCUAGAUUAUUCUACCACACUCAAUGAAGAGGAAAACAAUCCUCAUUUCUCCAUCUCACACAAACAAAUGCCUGGAAGGAUGUGUCUGUUUUACUGAGCAAUGUCAUUCUGAAAGCCUUCGAAUAUGAGCAAUUGCAAAUAACUCUGAGGACUCUUUGGCCAUUUUCGAAGUACUUCCAGUGUCAGCACACCCAGAAUUUGGUAACUUACCAAGCAAAAACAAUGUGCACUGAUCAUGCCAGGUUUUUUUUGUCUGCUUGGCAUCGCUGUGUGAUUGGGUCAGCGAAAAGUCCUGUCCUGAAAGCAGCAACUCUUGUCCAGAGCAGCCUAUAUUUGUUUCUCUAGGCUGCAGACAACUGGCAUUGUAAUGCCAUUUGAAGCCUGACAUGGAAAGCACUGGCACAUUCACACACUAAUCCUCCCCAAACCUAGUCACUCACCCAAAUGGUAUUUGAAAUAACAAACAGAGAAGAGACCAUUUUCUUUUCGAAAAUUAGAAAAGAACCAAUGCUACAGAAGUCAGGGGUCCCAGCAAACAUGUACUGGGGCUAAUUGCUUUUGUUAUUCCAGUUGAUAAUGCCAAAACUUCAAGCCUCAGUACCAGAGUUGGAGAAAACUUUAUAGUGGUAAUACAAAAACUAGAAGUCACAACCCUGUCUAAUCCAAAUAGAGGCUGGCCAAUCUGUGCAUUUUAUAGCAUUUUUCUAUAUAAAGAAAAAAUUAUCUUAAUUUACGGUCCCCAGACAAAGAGUACACAGAAGGAGAACAGCAGGAACUUAACCAGCAUCAGGCAGUGACCAAGAAUGGCAGCUCAAGCAAUAAAAAGAGAAAGAAAAUUAGAAAUUACAGGAAACUAAAACUUUGGGAACAGAGUAACACAGCACAGUACUUUUUUUGGCUACAGUAUUUCACAGAAUUCCAGAUACCAGCAGUGGAUUGUAAAUUAUUUAAACUGAGGUGAGGAGAAAAUUCCAGGCAGGUACAAUUGUAAUUAACUCUCUGGAACAGAAAUUACCCCAAUUAAGUAUUAAGCAUCUACCUCCAAGGUUGGGUUGGGAGGUUUCUCUGUUUGUUUGUUUGAUAUUUGUUUUGGUUUGGGUGGCAUUUUUUUGCACAUCCAUGGUAUCUGUAUACAUACCAGAGGUAUAUACACAGGUAUGUGUACUGGAGCUGGAGACAAGUGUCCAUUGGCACCCUGCACUUCCAAACAUUACAGAAAGCUUUAUAAACUAAAAAAAACAAUUACAUUUGAAAAAGCAGAGGUUUGCUGGUAAUGGUAAAAAUACUUGCACCUUCACCUGCAGAAGUAACAUCAAGCUGCCAACAAAACCAAUAAAAGUUACUUAAAUAAGUAUUUUUUCAAAAGCUCUGAAAGAAAAGUCCUUCUCUACCUCAGUAAAAGUGGAGAUACACAUUUUUUUCCCUCUAAAUGAAGAUAAUACAAAUGAUAAAGAUGGUUGAAUACAAAACUGAAAGGCACCUCCAGAAGGAUUUUAAUUAGGAAUAUAAAUUUUUUUUAAAAACAGAAUAGCUGUUGUCUGCAAGUAGGCACUGAGCAAAAUGGUACAGAGAGUGCAGAGAACUUUUGAAACAAAACCCCCAUCUUCUUGUAAGUCUGAUGCCAAUGAAAACUAGUUUUUAGACAGCUUAAAGGAAAGGGAUACCGGUCUCAGACCACGUGCUGCUUGUGGCCUUCCUUCCCGCGGCCAGAACUCCUCGGAAGAACUGCUCCAGGGUCUGUUCUCCUGCAGGCAGGGCGGGGACGAGGGGAGCAGUGAGUCCUAAGGCGGCCUGGCAGCUGGAGCCUCUCCAGCCUCCCAGGGCAGGACUCCGGUUACACAGCGCUCACAGGGAGCCCCGGGGAUGUGACCUCGUGUGAACCCCUGACAAGGUCCUCAGGGCUCACCCUUGGCUGGAGACACCUGUCGCCAGCAGCUAUUUACAGCAAUCCUCACUGGUGACCAGUGGCACAAGGGAGCUGUGUCAGGAGCAGGUUUUAAUGCCCCGGGAACACCGAAGACAUCAGGCAAUGCUAUAAUGGGGAGAAUGCUCCCUUGCUUUAGUUUCUCGAUGGUUUUAUAUCCCACAGGUUUGUUUCUGCCAGCUUUACCACACAGCAAAGAAUCACCACUGCAGCAAGGUUUGGCAGAGGACACCUGAGAUGACCCUCGGACUCCCCUGUAAAUCUCAGCAUGACAGAAGUGUGGUUCUAGUGCUGUUUUCCUCAGUAUGUUGCCAGAGAAAAUAGAUCUAAGAAAUCAGUAAUUUCUAAAUAGCUCCUGCACUUCCAGACAACACCAGUAACUGACAGCUACGAGACAUAUUUCUUCUUGUCAAAUAGUGAUCAGUAAGAAGAAAUCACUGUGUCCAGAAUGGGAUCCUCAGGCUUAAUCACAGAAUCAUCACAGAACGGUUUGGGUUGGAAGGGACCUUAAAGACCAUCUUGUUCCAACUUCUCUGCCAUAACCUUCUCUUCCACUAGACCAGGUUGCUCAAAGCCCCUGUCAGCCUGGCCUUGAACACUUCCAGGGAUGAGGCAUCCACAACUUCUCUGGGCAACCUCGCCAGAGCCUCACCACCCUCACAGGAAAGAAUUUCCUCUCAAGGUCUAAUCAACUUAUGCACGAUGUUUCUUGGGGAAGAUCCUACAGCUGCUUCCUCUUCAAUAAAAUGGCAGAAAUACUCACCAUACAGAAGAUCCCACCCUAUCCAACAAUAACAGUUAUUCCUAGAUAAGCAUGUGAAAGGAAUACACAACCACUUCCAAAUACAAGAAAGUGCUUACGAAACUAAAGUGAAAUUUUGCAAUUGCUCUGUAGAGCAGGUAAACACUGCAAGACAUUUUAAAACAUACCUCUUAGAACAGCUCUAAUUCACUAACUUUAACAUAUACCAGACUGCUUCUUUUCUAAAUGAAAUGGUCUAAAUGUUCCACGGAAAUGGAAAUUUUUAAGGUUCUAGAUAUUUUAAUAUUUAGAUAUAUAUAUAAUGUCUUUAUAUAUAUAUAUAUUAUAUAUAUAAUAUAUUUAUAUAUAUUUUAUAUAUAUAUAUCUAGAUACUAGAAAUAUUUUUAUAUGUAAGCAGUGAUAAUCACUACCAAGAUACUUACUUCUGCUUUCUACCAGCUGUGUCACUUACAGCAGAUCAGACUGAGUAUUGUUUUUAAAUGUUGUUUGCACUGGAUUGUUUUAUGGACAAGCACAGGAGCUAUUCACACUUGAAUUAAAAUCCCAUUCAUACCUAGACCUUUCACAAAGGCAUUGGAAGUGCUGCACCACUUCUCAAGUCCAUUUGUUAAAAAGGCAGUCAAGAUGCAUCCAUCCCUCACUGGAGUCACCGAGGAAAAAGGCAACAAUAAUUCCAGAAUCUGCUAACACCUUUCCAGGUACUGUGACAACCUACCAUGGACCAGUGGACAAAAUAUGUUUAAUCUCAGUUUGACCUGUGUUUUAGAUAGAACCUCUCAAGGUUAGUAGUAAAAAAAAAUAAAUAAAAUUUUUAAAAGGAGUGCUAAAAAACCCCCAAGCAAAUUAAAUUAUAAUCCUGUAUCUUGUGCAAAUUACGGAUAGGUUUGCAUUUGCAUUAUUCUAAUUUUUGUAAAGGCACAGUAAACCAAAAUAUUGCAAACACCCUCACAGUUCAAAAUACUGAAUAUGUUGCCAUCGAUCAAUUUUAGUGUUUAACCCCAAUCUGAUGUUUUAUUGCAUCUGAUGUAUUAUUGUAUUCAUUUGAAAUCUGAAAUUUAGUUGAAAUUUUAACCUAGUAUAUCCUUAAAACUGAGACCAUGACAGCAUUUUUGUUGCUAUGCAAGAUUCUGUUGAAGUUACAUUGAUACAGAUAUAAUUAUUUAGUGUGAUUAUCUUUGGAAAGGCCAGUGAAAUAAAGUAUUUAGAUUCCUUAACAAACCCUUAAGAACUAGGUCCCUAAAACAACUGUUUAACCGAUCAUAUUACAUGCUUAACUUAAUAAAAGAUCUUAAGAAAGAGAAAUAGGAUGGGGUAGUAAAAUAAAGGUUUCAUUCUACUUGUUUUAGACAGUAACUCUGGUGCCAGAGGCAGGACGCUUUCAGAGACACUGAUUUAAUAACCUUAAUUACUUUAUGCUCAUGAUAUAUGUCAAGUUAACACCUGAAUUAGUUUUCACUGCAGGACAAACUCUAUUAGGAACACUGAUGCUUGUUCUUAAUGUUCUGUAAGAGGCACGACACAACACACUCAAAAACCACAUUCAUAAGUUAACCUUGCACUGCAGCAGCUUCUGAAUUAGCAGCAACAUCCGAAUUAGCAGCAGCUUCUGAAUUAGCAGCAGCUUCUGAAUUAGCAGUAGCUUCCUGCUGUGCUUCCUCCACAGCAGGGGAUGCCUCUGGAGCUGGUAAGUCAUUCUCCCCUCCAGCUUCUGGGGACUCCCCAGAGCUCUCAUCCUGUGCUGCAGGUCCAGCACUCUCAUCCUGUGCUGCAGGUCCAGCACUCUCAUCCUGUGCUGCAGGUCCCGCAGCGUCUGCUGCAUCAGCCUCUUCCGUGGCUUUCUCUGCUUCAGUGACUUCAUCCGUCUCUUCAUCACCUUCUAGGGAUUUAUUUAAUACAAUAAAGAGAGUAAAGUGCAUGCAUGCAACAAAAAUUUCAUCAACUACUUUUUACCACCAUCCUCGUUUAAAUUUAAAAUGGGAAGCUAAGCUUUGGGAUCAGAAUAAAAAACAAAAAAAAAAACCAGCAAAAAAUCAAUAAUUAAUCCCCCCAUAUUGUCUCAUGUGGCACCAAAAAAAAGAUGUUUACAAGAUGAGGAAACCAUAUUCUUAAUUACCGAGUUUCACAACUGCUUCAGUGGAAUAAGAAAAGAAACUGUGGCUUAAAGCAAGUGACUCUAAGAGGUGGGAGUGCAGGGAAGGAUGAAAAGGGACUUUGCCAAGUGCUGCUUCAGACCCACCCUGCUGAAAGGGCCAGUGAUGAUGCUAUCACAGGUGACACAGCGAGCAUGACUCUUGCCCUGUUUGCACCCAGCAGUGGAAUUAACACACUGGGAAUAAGACAUUUGCUAACCUACUUGGAAGCUCUUGCAGGUUAAAAGCACUGCAAGCCAAGGUGUGCCUUCAGUUUGCACAGGGCUGUUUUCAAGGUGGCUGACUUGGCUGCCAAUAGCUACAGUAAUGCUGUACCCAAGGAAUUUGCAGUUUUCAGAUGGGUUUGGGGCCUUCUCUUAGCUGCAAUCCCUGCUGCCUCUGCUUUCUCUAAAGCUAUAUUGAAUGCCCUGUGACCCCUGCGAGAGCCAUAGUGCUCAGAUAAGAAAGGCAAGGUCUGCAGGGCUGAAAAAAACCCUUAUUGAAACUAGGUGUAUACAAGUAAGAAAAUAACUUGCUACUUUUAAGUGGUCAGGAUUCACUUUCUUGAAGAUAGGACCACUUAUGACUAUUUUCUCCUUACAAGUCCCAGGUCUCUUUUAAAGACUUGUCUACACCACUGUGGGUCAGGCUCUUUAGAACCUCAAAAAAACAGUGUUUCCCAGUCAUGCAUUACUUCAAACUCAGCUGAGACAAGUCAUGAAAAACUAACAGCACAAAGCAACAAAGAUGCACAACCACCAUGCAGACAUGCACUAACACCAAGUUAACAAAAGAAAGUUAUAUACUAAGUGUUCAUCUCAAGUUCACCACUAGAACCAACUCACCAUGUGAAAAAACAGAACUGGAAAUAAUGUUUGUAAUACAGUGUAAAAACUACGUGAGAAUUGAAACAAAAGAGCUUAAAGAGACAUAAUCAGAAUUUAUGUUAUUCUUUUAAAUCUGUUUAAAAACUAAACAGAUGGAUUUUAUUUCUUGUUUUUCUUAUGCUAGUGCAAGCCUACCUUUUUGUGUUCAGAUUUAAAGACAAGUCCAUUCAUUGCUCAGUAAAAAAAUCAAAGCUUUACAUUAUGCAACCUGAUCAUGUCCCUUUAAGAAAACACUAUAUUUAAAAAAAAAAAACCAACCAAACUAAAUUCAUUACACAAAGAACAGACUAACAGCCAAGCUCAGCAUUCAGUACACUUUAUUGGACAGUCAAAUAUAGAGUGCAUUCAUCCAGAACAGCCAGCUUCUCCAUCUCAGAACUGCCUUCUACAAAGCAGGUUCAGUAAUAAGCUCAAUAUGGUUUGGCCUUGCAAACACAGGUAGUUCUUUUAAAGUCUCACAAGUAUGGAGUGUUACAAUAGAAGGUAUAAAGUCAUCCCAAGGUAGGCUGCAAGGUACGCAAUGGUGAACGACUGUCCUUUGUUUGUAUUUAACUUCCUCGGGUUUGGAAAGAGAUUUCCCUUGUAUUUUAGUCUGGAAAGUGUAAAAGCAGAGUAUAGAUUAGAAAGAUUGAAUCAGCUUGCAUCAUGUUAAAAAGAAAAGUCAUAGCUAAAAAGGAAGGAAAUCAGGAACAAGUUCAAAGGAGACACACACAAAUGGAAGACAAAACCCAGUAUUUGCUAAAUAAGCAACUAGAACGUCCUGCAAGCCAAACAUCAUUUUACAGUUCAAAUGAUGUCCCAGAUUUCCUACUGCUACUUCGAGUCUUGCUUCUGCCAGGGACUUUUUACAUCCCACUAAAUUUGAGAACAGAUUUCAGUUAAAAAGAGCUACA
This is a long non-coding RNA of Pseudopipra pipra, 7688 nucleotides long. RefSeq lists it as uncharacterized. The record is from RefSeq and is a predicted model, not a curated record. Lineage: Eukaryota; Metazoa; Chordata; Aves; Passeriformes; Pipridae. The transcript is spliced from 3 exons.